CACUAGUUUAGUCUUAGUGCACGUGUUAGUUUUCAAUUUUAUUCACAUUUCACUUUGCAAGCAGACUCAGUUCUUUUAGGUUGAGUUUCAUUUCAGUUUCUAUAAUUUGUAUGGUUGAUUUAGCAAAAUUACUUUUGGUAAAAAAUAUUCCUUGGACAUUCUUCAUUAUUUGGUUCAACAUUUGCAACCAAUAUUUUUUAGGUUACACAUUGACCUGGUAACUCAGUUUGUGGUCUUGCCCCUCUUUUAUCCAUUUGGCUUUUCUAUAUGCUGUUCCCUCCAUUUAGAAAUCCCCUUACUGUUGCUCUUUUCUAACAACCUCCUCCUUUUUUCUGCAGACUCAUCUUUUCUGAAAAGACUUUUCUUGUCCACAAAUGGCUUUGAUGCUAAUACCUUUAUUUAUGCCUGAUGGGAAUAGAUGAGAUCACUCAGGAAGAAUAUGUCAUGUGAAAACAGAACUGGUUUGUACAGGACACAAAGGAAGCAGUGCCUGCCGGGGAGAAGGGAGAGGAGUGCUAGAGAGGGAGGAGAGAGCCAGGAGAAAGGCCAAGGGAUAGCUGUUUCUACAUGCAGAGCAUGGUAGGUGUAGUACAACAGAAAUACAAGAUUUACAUGUACCUAAGGAGGGAUAAAAUUUUAUGUUCAUCAUGUACUUUAUCUAAUAAAGUAAGAAUGUUAAAAAGACAGUUUUCCAUUUGGGGAAAUGAAGUAAUGAAAAUGAUAGAACUCUGAUUUCGAAGGAACAUUUGUUGAAGUGUUAGUUUCCAAAAGAUCCAAACAGCUGUUUUUAAAAGUUCUAAGCCAAUAAACCACCUCAAUUAUUACAAAACAAAGAAAUACCUUAGAAUAAGUGACCAGAGUAUUGUCUUGAAAACCAGAAAUAUUGAUCAAGAAAGGACUAUGUGAGGUGAGUCCAACACACAGUACCGUGAUGUGUGAUGUCCAGAAGAACAGAAGAUGCCAGGAGACUCCAGAUACAGCAAUGACAAAGAGCAGUCCUGCACCCAACGUUAUCAAACCUUCUAAUUCAAUCAUUAGGUACUGAGCUAAUGUAGAGAGAGGCUGAAAAUCAUUUAUCUAAUUGGCAAGAACCAGUGUGGAAGGGGGCAGGGUGAGUAACAGAAGAAAACACAGUGAUUCGUAAUUGAGGUCCUCAACUCAUGG
This 1164-nucleotide long non-coding RNA is filed under the name Callithrix jacchus (white-tufted-ear marmoset). RNAcentral describes it as "lncRNA (ENSCJAG00000076991.1)". Lineage: Eukaryota; Metazoa; Chordata; Mammalia; Primates; Cebidae. The record is from RNAcentral.